AUAGUGAGGACUCUGACUCCAUUUCUUCACACACUGAACUCUCAGUUCCCGCCUACCGUCCCGGUUCACAGCUAGCAUUCGGCACAGGUGGCGAAGCAGUGUGGGCCCAGAGCAGAGACCUCGAGGAAGGCUUCUGACCCUGGACACGGAGGAGUAGCCAGCCUCGGAAGUUAGAAAGAACUACACGCAGUACAUCCCUCUGUCCAUAUAUGACCUGCAGACGUGGAUGGGCAGCCCGUCGAUCUUCGUCUACGACUGCUCCAAUGCUGGCUUGAUCGUCAAGUCCUUCAAGCAGUUCGCACUACAGCGGGAGCAGGAGCUGGAGGUAGCUGCAAUCAACCCAAAUCACCCUCUUGCUCAGAUGCCUUUGCCUCCAUCGAUGAAAAACUGCAUCCAGCUGGCAGCCUGCGAGGCCACCGA
Molecule: small RNA, 420 nt
Filed under: Pongo abelii (Sumatran orangutan)
Lineage: Eukaryota; Metazoa; Chordata; Mammalia; Primates; Hominidae
Description: processed transcript
Source: RNAcentral